This 73-nucleotide transfer RNA is filed under the name Vicugna pacos (alpaca). RNAcentral's name for it is "tRNA-Met (CAT) (tRNA-Met-CAT-6-1)". It matches the Rfam family "tRNA". From Rfam's summary of the family: Transfer RNA (tRNA) molecules are approximately 80 nucleotides in length. Their secondary structure includes four short double-helical elements and three loops (D, anti-codon, and T loops). Lineage: Eukaryota; Metazoa; Chordata; Mammalia; Artiodactyla; Camelidae. The record is from Rfam by way of RNAcentral.
GCCCUCUUGGCGCAGCAGGCAGCGCGUCAGUCUCAUAAUCUGAAGGUCCUGAGUUCGAGCCUCAGAGAGGGCA